Molecule: long non-coding RNA, 342 nt
Filed under: Gossypium raimondii (Peruvian cotton)
Lineage: Eukaryota; Viridiplantae; Streptophyta; Magnoliopsida; Malvales; Malvaceae
Description: long non-coding RNA (GRAI_LNC005917)
Source: RNAcentral
GGCGGCGGGGCUUCUAGCCUUAGAACCCUAGCAGAAAAGGGAUUCUCCCUUUUAUUUUUUGUUUUUUUUUGUGUUUUUUGCAGCAAAAUGAAACUGCAGAAAGAAGUAAUUUUUUUUAGCUUUAUCUUAAUUGAAACGGCGCCGUUUGAGGGAGGGAGACCCGCGCAUUGCCCUAAUGGGUAAUUUGCGCACUUGGUCCCUCCAUCUUGCGCUUGAAGCGCAAUCUGACCUUUCUAUUUUUUUUUUUGAUUUGGGUUGCAAAUUUUGAUUCCGUUUCAAUCUGGUCUAUAGACCAUGCGCAGUCCCUCACCGCGUUUAGGGCUGUGGAAUAUUUCCCUAUAG